This 458-nucleotide ribosomal RNA is filed under the name Ehrlichia chaffeensis. RNAcentral describes it as "bacterial SSU rRNA". It matches the Rfam family "Bacterial small subunit ribosomal RNA", at positions 20 to 503 of the family's 1533-position model. Lineage: Bacteria; Pseudomonadati; Pseudomonadota; Alphaproteobacteria; Rickettsiales; Anaplasmataceae. The record is from RNAcentral.
UGGCUCAGAACGAACGCUGGCGGCAAGCCUAACACAUGCAAGUCGAACGGACAAUUGUUUAUACCUUUGGUAUAAGUAAUUGUUAGUGGCAGACGGGUGAGUAAUGCGUAGGAAUCUACCUAGUAGUAUGGAAUAGCCAUUAGAAAUGAUGGGUAAUACUGUAUAGUCCCUGCGGGGGAAAGAUUUAUCGCUAUUAGAUGAGCCUAUGUUAGAUUAGCUAGUUGGUAAGGUAAUGGCUUACCAAGGCUAUGAUCUAUAGCUGGUCUGAGAGGACGAUCAGCCACACUGGAACUGAGAUACGGUCCAGACUCCUACGGGAGGCAGCAGUGGGGAAUAUUGGACAAUGGGCGAAAGCCUGAUCCAGCUAUGCCGCGUGAGUGAAGAAGGCCUUCGGGUUGUAAAGCUCUUUCAAUAGGGAAGAUAAUGACGGUACCUAUAGAAAAAGUCCCGGCAAACUC